Molecule: transfer RNA, 67 nt
Filed under: Typhlocyba sp. EMHAU-15062510
Lineage: Eukaryota; Metazoa; Arthropoda; Insecta; Hemiptera; Cicadellidae
Also listed under: 1 other name
Description: tRNA-Phe
Source: RNAcentral
AUUUUAAUAGCUUAAUUUUAGAGAGUUUUGUAUUGAAGAUACAAAGGUGAAUAUUUUUCUUAAAAUA